This 595-nucleotide ribosomal RNA is filed under the name uncultured Aerococcus sp. RNAcentral's name for it is "bacterial SSU rRNA". It matches the Rfam family "Bacterial small subunit ribosomal RNA", at positions 8 to 594 of the family's 1533-position model. Lineage: Bacteria; Bacillati; Bacillota; Bacilli; Lactobacillales; Aerococcaceae. The record is from RNAcentral.
AGAGUUUGAUCCUGGCUCAGGACGAACGCUGGCGGCGUGCCUAAUACAUGCAAGUCGAGCAACCGACGAGGUGCUUGCACCUUUGACGUUAGCGGCGAACGGGUGAGUAACACGUAAGGAUCUACCUAUAAGUGGGGGAUAACAUCCGGAAACGGGUGCUAAUACCGCAUAAUAACCGACCCACAUGGUGUAAGUUUGAAAGAUGGCUCUGCUGUCACUUAUAGAUGACCUUGCGGUGCAUAGCUAGUUGGUGGGGUAAUAGCCUACCAAGGCCAUGAUGCAUAGCCGACCUGAGAGGGUAUCGGCCACAUUGGGACUGAGACACGGCCCAAACUCCUACGGGAGGCAGCAGUAGGGAAUUUCCGCAAUGGACGCAAGUCUGACGGAGCAACGCCGCGUGAGUGAAGAAGGUUUUCGGAUGUAAAACUCUGUUAUAAGAGAAGAACAAGUUGUAGAGUAACUGUUGCAGCUUUGACGGUACUUAUCAGAAAGCCACGGCUAACUACGUGCCAGCAGCCGCGGUAAUACGUAGGUGGCAAGGUUGUCCGGAUUUAUUGGGCGUAAAGGGAGCGCAGGUGGUUUCUUAAGUCUGAUG